UGCAAGUCGAACGGUAACAUUUCUAGCUUGCUAGAAGAUGACGAGUGGCGGACGGGUGAGUAAUGCUUGGGGACUUGCCUUUGCGAGGGGGAUAACAGUUGGAAACGACUGCUAAUACCGCAUAAUGUCUUCGGACCAAACGGGGCUUCGGCUCCGGCGCAAAGAGAGGCCCAAGUGAGAUUAGCUAGUUGGUAAGGUAACGGCUUACCAAGGCGACGAUCUCUAGCUGUUCUGAGAGGAAGAUCAGCCACACUGGGACUGAGACACGGCCCAGACUCCUACGGGAGGCAGCAGUGGGGAAUAUUGCACAAUGGGGGGAACCCUGAUGCAGCCAUGCCGCGUGUGUGAAGAAGGCCUUCGGGUUGUAAAGCACUUUCAGUUGUGAGGAAAAGUUAGUAGUUAAUACCUGCUAGCCGUGACGUUAACAACAGAAGAAGCACCGGCUAACUCCGUGCCAGCAGCCGCGGUAAUACGGAGGGUGCGAGCGUUAAUCGGAAUUACUGGGCGUAAAGCGCACGCAGGCGGUUUGUUAAGCUAGAUGUGAAAGCCCCGGGCUCAACCUGGGAUGGUCAUUUAGAACUGGCAGACUAAAGUCUUGGAGAGGGGAGUGGAAUUCCAGGUGUAGCGGUGAAAUGCG
RNAcentral lists this ribosomal RNA (637 nucleotides) under uncultured bacterium. RNAcentral describes it as "bacterial SSU rRNA". It matches the Rfam family "Bacterial small subunit ribosomal RNA", at positions 56 to 690 of the family's 1533-position model. The record is from RNAcentral.